Molecule: ribosomal RNA, 468 nt
Filed under: uncultured bacterium
Lineage: Bacteria
Description: partial 16S ribosomal RNA
Rfam family: Bacterial small subunit ribosomal RNA
Source: RNAcentral
GAUGAACGCUGGCGGCGUGCUUAACACAUGCAAGUCGAACGGAAAGACCCUGCUUUUGUGGGUUGCUUGAUUGCGGAACGCGUGAGUAACACGUGAGUAACCUGCCCUUGACUUUGGGAUAACUUUAGGAAACAGCGGCUCAUACCGGAUAGGAGCUCCUGCACCUUGGUGUGGGAUGGAAAGAUACGGCGGUUCGGGAUGGUCUCGCGGCUUAUCCGCUUGUUAGUGGGGUAGUUGCUUACCAAGUGUUUGACGGGUAGCCUGCCUGAGAGGGGUACCGGGGACCUGGGGACUGAGAUACGGCGCAGACUAGUACGGGAGGCAGCAGUGGGGAAUAUUGCACAAUGGCGGGAAGCCUGAUGCAGCAACGCCGCGUGCGGGAUGACGGCCUUCGGGUUGUAAACCGCUUUCGCCUGUGACGAGGCGUGAGUGACGGUAAUGGAUAAAGAAGCACCGGCUAACUACGUG